UAUAUAGCCUUUAAUAUGACCCAUGUAUAUAAGGUUAGCUAAAAUGCACUGGACUUCAUCAAUGUCAACAUCAUCUACUUGCAUGAAUUUCAGAGCAAAAAGAAAGGCAUCCAGGGAUAGCUGGUGUGUUUUGAGUAGUAAAUAUACUUUCUUAAAGAGAUUUCUGUAUGUGAUGAUUUUCAGCUUCUCGAGGAUAAGAAAGAUUCCACAUCUAAUGAAGAAGGUCUCAUGCUUGGUCAGAGCUUCAUUCAGUAGGAGAAGAUUGCCUUCACUGACAGCCUUUGUUACUUCAGCAAACUGCAUAAGGUCAUACUUCUUUAAGAGCUGAACAGUUGGCAUAUGGCCCAACAACAUUUUUACUGGCAGCAGGUAGAUCAAAAUCAUUCUUUUGUUUUUCUGGCUUGACCGGUGACAGUGCUCAAAAGCAAACGACAGAUACUCUUCAGCUUGCUUAAAGUCACUGUCAAACAUGGCUUUGCGUCCAACGUAGUAUCUGUAUGUAACUCGCUGGGCCAUACUAUAUUCAUCCUUCAGGUUUGAACUGUCAAUUGCUCUAAUUAAGGGUUUACACAGAUGGAGUUUAUUGAUCUUAAAAUAAAUUUUGAACAGCUGAUUCACGAGAAACAACAUGCCCCACUUUUUGGAAUCUUCAAUGCCUGCUCGAGUGUCACUGGCACAGACUCGAAAACAGCUCAUCAGCAGUUCUGCUGCUUUUUCUAACAUGUCGCCAACUUUGCUCUUCCCCUUC
Molecule: long non-coding RNA, 748 nt
Filed under: Gallus gallus (chicken)
Lineage: Eukaryota; Metazoa; Chordata; Aves; Galliformes; Phasianidae
Source: RNAcentral